AAUAGAUACCCUGGUAGUCCACGCCGUAAACGAUGAGUGCUAAGUGUUAGGGGGGUUUCCGCCCCUUAGUGCUGCAGCUAACGCAUUAAGCACUCCGCCUGGGGAGUACGGUCGCAAGACUGAAGCUCAAAGAAUUGACGGGGGGCCCGCACAAGCGGUGGAGCAUGUGGUUUAAUUCGAAGCAACGCGAAGAACCUUACCAGGUCUUGACAUCCUCUGACAACCCUAGAGAUAGGGCUUUCCCUUCGGGGACAGAGUGACAGGUGGUGCAUGGUUGUCGUCAGCUCGUGUCGUGAGAUGUUGGGUUAAGUCCCGCAACGAGCGCAACCCUUGAUCUUAGUUGCCAGCAUUUAGUUGGGCACUCUAAGGUGACUGCCGGUGACAAACCGGAGGAAGAUGGGGAUGACGUCAAAUCAUCAUGCCCCUUAUGACCUGGGCUACACACGUGCUACAAUGGACAGAACAAAGGGCUGCGAGACCGCAAGGUUUAGCCAAUCCCACAAAUCUGUUCUCAGUUCGGAUCGC
Molecule: ribosomal RNA, 525 nt
Filed under: uncultured bacterium
Lineage: Bacteria
Description: bacterial SSU rRNA
Rfam family: Bacterial small subunit ribosomal RNA
Source: RNAcentral